AUGCUCUUUUUCCAGUGUUUGAUCAAAUGGGUUCAUCAUGUGAUGUAUGGUUGACAGAAUGCUCUGAACAUCUUUUUCAUCCUGUUCCUUUCUUUUCUCAUCCAAUUCUGUUCUCUGUCUUGUUGACAUGUUCUGCCCAGCCAUGUCCUUGACCUCCAUUGUGAUGGCUGCUCUCUCGUGCUGUGUCAGUGUCCACCUGUGGACUGCACCUUUGUUCAACGAAAAACCUGAAAAGAACCAUGGCAGCAUGAACCGGAUGCUGG
This is a long non-coding RNA of Perca fluviatilis (European perch), 263 nucleotides long. RefSeq lists it as uncharacterized. The record is from RefSeq and is a predicted model, not a curated record. Lineage: Eukaryota; Metazoa; Chordata; Actinopteri; Perciformes; Percidae. The transcript has 2 exons.